This 837-nucleotide long non-coding RNA is filed under the name Mytilus galloprovincialis (Mediterranean mussel). Lineage: Eukaryota; Metazoa; Mollusca; Bivalvia; Mytilida; Mytilidae. The record is from RNAcentral.
UCCCGCCACAUUAUUUAUGUAUGUGCCUGUCCCAAGUCAGGAGCCUGUAAUUCAGUGGUUGUCGUUUGUUUAAGUGUUACAUAUUUGUUUUUCGAUCAUUGUUUUACAUAAAUAAGGUCGUUAUUUUUCUCGUUUGAAUUGUUUUACAUUGUCUUAUCGGGGCCUUUUAUAGCUGACUAUGCGGUAUGGGCUUUGCUCAUUGUUGAAGGCCGUACGGUGCCCUAUAGUUCUUAAUGUCUGUUUUAUGUUGGUAUUUUGUGGAUAGUUGUCUCAUUGGCAAUCAUACCACAUCUUCUUCUUUUAUAUUAUUCAAUCCGCUGCUAUCUUCAUUUUCUAUAUGUAUCUUGAUUUUUGAUAGGCAAUUCAUCACACGUUAGCAUAUUAAUACGAAAUGCAUUGCAGAACAGAGCAGUUAAGAGACAGAUAAAUGGCUGCCAAUAGUCAAGGUUAUUUCAGGAAGGCUUAUCUGUGGGUCUCAUUGGGGUCUAAGCGUGAUACAGGAUGGCCGAUUUUUUGUAAGCGGGACACGUGAAAGUCAAAAUAUUGUGUCAUGAAAACGGGAAAUGGGGUUUAGCCGGACCCGGGAAAUGACAAAAAAAAAUGAGAAUUGCUUACGCACAUAGUGUCAGCGGGAUACGGGAAUCUGACAAAACAGUAAGCGGGAUCCGGGAUCGGAAUCCCCCAAUGAGACCCCCUUUAUCUUAUAGAUCAUUCAAAAAUUUGAUGACGGCUAAAUAGCAGGGAAUGUCACCCGUUCGAUCCACAUUACUUACGUCUGAUCAUUCCGGAAAUAUUUUUAGAAAUGCAGCCAUAUAUCUGGCAUGUGAUUUAUUCCCG